GAUGAACGCUGGCGGCGUGCUUAACACAUGCAAGUCGAACGAAGCACCUUGAUUUGAUUCUUCGGAUGAAGAUCUUGGUGACUGAGUGGCGGACGGGUGAGUAACGCGUGGGUAACCUGCCUCAUACAGGGGGAUAACAGUUAGAAAUGACUGCUAAUACCGCAUAAGACCACACCACCGCAUAGUGCAGGGGUAAAAACUCCGGUGGUAUGAGAUGGACCCGCGUCUGAUUAGGUAGUUGGUGGGGUAACGGCCUAUCAAACCGACGAUCAGUAGCCGACCUGAGAGGGUGACCGACCACAUUGGGACUGAGACACGGCCCAAACUCCUACGGGAGGCAGCAGUGGGGAAUAUUGCACAAUGGGGGAAACCCUGAUGCAGCGACGCCGCGUGAGCGAUGAAGUAUUUCGGUAUGUAAAGCUCUAUCAGCAGGGAAGAAAAUGACGGUACCUGACUAAGAAGCACCGGCUAAAUACGUGCCAGCCGCCGCAGUAA
Molecule: ribosomal RNA, 495 nt
Filed under: uncultured bacterium
Lineage: Bacteria
Description: partial 16S ribosomal RNA
Rfam family: Bacterial small subunit ribosomal RNA
Source: RNAcentral